RNAcentral lists this long non-coding RNA (319 nucleotides) under Nicotiana benthamiana. Its description in RNAcentral is "long non-coding RNA (NBEN_LNC031087)". Lineage: Eukaryota; Viridiplantae; Streptophyta; Magnoliopsida; Solanales; Solanaceae. The record is from RNAcentral.
AGAGAGAGACUGUUGACAUUAUCUUCUUGAGGUGCAGACUGUUUUUGGGCACGGCACACCAAUAAUUGGUUAGGCUUGAGUGAUGGAACAAUACUUCUUACUAAGGGAGUUCUAGCUGGAGUUGACAAUGCAUGAUGGUGCAAGAAGCAUUGUGUGGAAGCCAUUGAUCACUUAUCUUUCUCAAAGCUGCUAUUGCCCUUUUUCUUUUUCUUCUUUGGGCUUCAAACCUACUUUGUUAUUUUAUUUUUUUUUCUGCUAAAAUGGUGAUGUGGGAAUGUUUUUGGAUUUAUUUUGUGAUAUGUGAAGGAGAAUUGGUAGA